GAUGAACGCUGGCGGCGUGCCUAAUACAUGCAAGUCGAGCGAACAGAUAAGGAGCUUGCUCCUUUGACGUUAGCGGCGGACGGGUGAGUAACACGUGGAUAACCUACCUAUAAGACUGGGAUAACUUCGGGAAACCGGAGCUAAUACCGGAUAAGAUUUUGAACCGCAUGGUUCAAUAGUGAAAGACGGCCUUGCUGUCACUUAUAGAUGGAUCCGCGUCGUAUUAGCUAGUUGGUAAGGUAACGGCUUACCAAGGCAACGAUACGUAGCCGACCUGAGAGGAUGAUCGGCCACACUGGAACUGAGACACGGUCCAGACUCCUACGGGAGGCAGCAGUAGGGAAUCUUCCGCAAUGGGCGAAAGCCUGACGGAGCAACGCCGCGUGAGUGAUGAAGGUCUUCGGAUCGUAAAACUCUGUUAUCAGGGAAGAACAAACGUGUAAGUAACUGUGGACGUCUUGACGGUACCUGAUCAGAAAGCCACGGCUAACUACGUG
RNAcentral lists this ribosomal RNA (497 nucleotides) under uncultured bacterium. Its description in RNAcentral is "partial 16S ribosomal RNA". It matches the Rfam family "Bacterial small subunit ribosomal RNA", at positions 28 to 507 of the family's 1533-position model. The record is from RNAcentral.